AAGACAUUGUGUCUUCGAGUCGUUGAUUUCACACUGCCGAGAAAAGCCUCUAGAUAGAAAAUAGGUGCCCGUACCGCAAACCGACACAGGUAGUCAAGAUGAGAAUUCUAAGGUGAGCGAGCGAACUCUCGUUAAGGAACUCGGCAAAAUGACCCCGUAACUUCGGGAGAAGGGGUGCUCUUUAGGGUUAACGCCCAGAAGAGCCGCAGUGAAUAGGCCCAAGCGACUGUUUAUCAAAAACACAGGUCUCUGCUAAACCGUAAGGUGAUGUAUAGGGGCUGACGCCUGCCCGGUGCUGGAAGGUUAAGAGGAGUGGUUAGCUUCUGCGAAGCUACGAAUCGAAGCCCCAGUAAACGGCGGCCGUAACUAUAACGGUCCUAAGGUAGCGAAAUUCCUUGUCGGGUAAGUUCCGACCCGCACGAAAGGCGUAACGAUUUGGGCACUGUCUCAACGAGAGACUCGGUGAAAUCAUAGUACCUGUGAAGAUGCAGGUUACCCGCGACAGGACGGAAAGACCCCGUGGAGCUUUACUGUAGCCUGAUAUUGAAAUUCGGCACAGCUUGUACAGGAUAGGUAGGAGCCUUUGAAACGUGAGCGCUAGCUUACGUGGAGGCGCUGGUGGG
Molecule: ribosomal RNA, 623 nt
Filed under: Staphylococcus aureus
Lineage: Bacteria; Bacillati; Bacillota; Bacilli; Caryophanales; Staphylococcaceae
Description: partial 23S ribosomal RNA
Rfam family: Bacterial large subunit ribosomal RNA
Source: RNAcentral